AGCUCCAGUAGCGUAUAUUAAAGUUGUUGCAGUUAAAAAGCUCGUAGUUGGAUUUCUGGUACGCUGCGCCCGGCCCGCCCGCUACAAGCGUGGUGUGUGCUGGAGCGCGGUUGCCAUCCUUCUAGAAAACGUUUCUACCCUUCGCUGGGCUGGAUUCGCAAUCUAGAUCUUUUACUUUGAAAAAAUUAGAGUGUUUAAAGCAGGCAUUUGCCAUGAAUACAUUAGCAUGGAAUAAUAAUAUAGGACUUUGGUUCUAUUUUGUUGGUUUCUAGGACUAAAGUAAUGAUUGAUAGGGAUAGUUGGGGGUGCUCGUAUUUAGCGGCCAGAGGUGAAAUUCUUGGAUUCGCUAAAGACGAACGUAUGCGAAAGCAUUCACCAAGGAUGUCUUCUUUAAUCAAGA
This 400-nucleotide ribosomal RNA is filed under the name phytoplankton environmental sample. Its description in RNAcentral is "partial small subunit ribosomal RNA". It matches the Rfam family "Eukaryotic small subunit ribosomal RNA", at positions 587 to 982 of the family's 1831-position model. The record is from RNAcentral.